RNAcentral lists this microRNA precursor (80 nucleotides) under Trifolium pratense (red clover). RNAcentral's name for it is "pre miRNA MIR473". It matches the Rfam family "MIR473 microRNA precursor family". Lineage: Eukaryota; Viridiplantae; Streptophyta; Magnoliopsida; Fabales; Fabaceae. The record is from Rfam by way of RNAcentral.
AUUGUUCACUCUCCCUCAAAGACUUCCAUAAUUUCUUUCGCAAAGAAGUCACUUUGGAAGUUUUUGGAGAGAGUUGAUAA